UACGUAGGUGACAAGCGUUGUCCGGAUUUACUGGGCGUAAAGAGCGCGCAGGCGGUCGUUCAAGUCGAGUGUGAAAGCCCCCGGCUCAACUGGGGAGGGUCAUUCGAUACUGAUCGACUCAAAGGCAGGAGAGGGUAGUGGAAUUCCCGGUGUAGUGGUGAAAUGCGUAGAUAUCGGGAGGAUUUUCUAAGGAGACGGCGACCACCGAGAUCUACACUGACGCUGAGGUGCGAAAGCGUGGGUAGCAAACAGG
Molecule: ribosomal RNA, 253 nt
Filed under: uncultured bacterium
Lineage: Bacteria
Description: partial 16S ribosomal RNA
Rfam family: Bacterial small subunit ribosomal RNA
Source: RNAcentral